GUGCUUACUUUAGCAGCACAGAUGUUAAAAUUGGAACAGAGAGAAGACUAAUAACAUGGCUCCCGCACAAGGAUGACCCACAAAUUCGUGAAGCGUCUUAGAUUAAA
This is a small nuclear RNA of Suricata suricatta (meerkat), 107 nucleotides long. The record is from Ensembl. Lineage: Eukaryota; Metazoa; Chordata; Mammalia; Carnivora; Herpestidae.